ACUCCAAAUGCAGGUAGCCUUCAUCCGAGCUCCCACGGGAGUCAGACCUCUUCCCCGAACGCCAACUGCAGGUAGACUCCGUCCGGGCUCCUACGGGAGUCGGACUUCUUUCCCGAACUCCGACUGUAGGUAGACUUCAUCCGAACUCCUACAAGGGCCGGACUCCGAGCUUCUACUGCAAGCGAUCCACUCCGAGCUUCUGCUACAAACGAUCUACUUUAAAUUUCCACUACGAGCGGUCCGUGCCGGAUUCCCACUGUAAGCCUUCACCCGAGCUUCCAUUGUGAACGAAUUCC
RNAcentral lists this long non-coding RNA (296 nucleotides) under Elaeis guineensis (African oil palm). Its description in RNAcentral is "long non-coding RNA (EGUI_LNC082657)". The record is from RNAcentral. Lineage: Eukaryota; Viridiplantae; Streptophyta; Magnoliopsida; Arecales; Arecaceae.